GGAUUAGGCAUGCAAGUCGUGCGGCAGCAGGCCCCGCAAGGGGUGCUGGCGAGCGGCGUAAGGGAGAGUAACACGCGGGUACCUACCCUCAGGACCGGGAUAGCUGCGGGAAACUGCAAUUAAUACCGGAUAUGUCUCCGGACCAAAGGUGUAAUUCCUCCGGAGGAGGGGCCCACGUCCUAUCAGCUAGUUGGAGAGGUAACGGCUCACCAAGGCGACGACGGGUACGGGGUGUGAGAGCAUGCCCCCGCUCACUGGGACUGAGACACUGCCCAGACACCUACGGGUGGCUGCAGUCGAGAAUCUUCCGCAAUGGGCGAAAGCCUGACGGAGCGACGCCGCGUGCGGGAUGAAGGCCUUCGGGUUGUAAACCGCUGUCAGUGGGGAGCAAAUGCACGGGGGUUCUCCCUUGUGCUUGAGCGAUCCGCAGAGGAAGCGCAGGCUAAGUUCGUGCCAGCAGCCGCGGUAACACGAACUGCGCAAACGUUAUUCGGAAUCACUGGGCUUAAAGAGUUCGUAGGCGGCGCGUUAAGUCGGGUGUGAAAUCCCUCGGCUCAACCGAGGAAUUGCGCCCGAAACUGGCGUGCUUGAGUAAGAUAGAGGUGAGCGGAACUGAUGGUGGAGCGGUGAAAUGCGUUGAUAUCAUCAGGAACACCGGUGGCGAAAGCGGCUCACUGGGUCUUAACUGACGCUGAGGAACGAAAGCUAGGGUAGCGAACGGGAUUAGAUACCCCGG
RNAcentral lists this ribosomal RNA (736 nucleotides) under uncultured bacterium. RNAcentral describes it as "bacterial SSU rRNA". It matches the Rfam family "Bacterial small subunit ribosomal RNA", at positions 46 to 790 of the family's 1533-position model. The record is from RNAcentral.